AGAAAAUCACGAAACAGGUGGGACAACUCGGCCCCGUUCUGGAGGUGAGGCCGGCUUGCUUGUUCUUGGAGCCGAGUUGUGCCGAUCUCUAAACCUGGGCGUGGCUAGCCUUCGCCAAAGUCCUACACCGGGCCGAGCUCGCUCACGGAAAUUUCCAUCAAACUUUGAAAGGCAUCAGUUCAACUUCAGGCUCAGCUUAGUAAAGAUACAUCUUGCAUCUUCUCUCCAUAGUAGUACACCCAGUUGUUGUGUGUCUGGACAGGUUGUGUGUCCGGACGAUCAAUUUUAGAAAGUCAUUUGGAAAAAUUUGAAAGCGAAGUUUCAUAAAUUUUUAGUACAAAAUGUUAGGAAAUAUAAAGAACAAAAUAGAAGAUGAUUACAAGUAUUGAAUUCAUAUUUUUAGUGUAAUCCAAAGACAAAAAAAGAAGGCUUCAAAAAUAUAAAGUGUCCGGACACCAACCCCCCAUCCUACUCUACUGAACUGUUUUGUCAAGUGUACAUUAAUUUCCAGUUUAGCUAGCCUUUUUGGAGCUGCAAGAGGAAUUAUCGCAUCAAGUAUCAAUUGUUUGCAAUUAAAAGGACAGUUUCAGAAGACAAAAUGAUCUACUCUUCGAUGGUAGUUGUAUGCCUGGUGGUCAUAUGGCUUGUCUCGGGGUUAAUGAUGUGGAAAAGUGAGUAUCAACAAUCAAAGAUUGACCCCUUUAUUGAACAAAUCCUUCCAAAUCUAUACAAAUUAAUAUGAAUUGAUAGAGAGUUAAAAAAUAACCUUUUUACAAAAAAAUUCAUUGAAAUUGAAUAUGGAUUAGAACGUCAUGACAUUUGAAAAGUUUAAUUUCAUAAAAACGGUCCUGGAUAAUAUACAGAUGAGCUGUGUCACACAUUAACCUUUUUCGUAAGUGCCAAUACAUCAAUGUUUAUUUUUGUUGAUGUUAUAUUCAAAGAAGUCCUUUUUUUUAAUGUAACAUAUAAAAAUAUUAUUUUUUUUUUUACGUUGGAAUCAUGUUUUAGUAUUGUAUUUUUUCAUAUUUCAUAAUAUACUAGUAAUCAAAUAACCAAAGAAAUAAAUAAUAGUCUGUGAAAAGCAUCAACUCAUUUAAACAUUACCUCAUAUAAAAUGAGUUACCCCCAAUUUUUCCUUUAAAAAAAUGGGACUUAAAUUCCUGAUAAUCCUAUUCAAAAUGUGACAACUAAAGAAUAAAAAAUCAAAAUGCUUGUUAAAAUAAGAAUGUGAUAUACAAAGAUCAUAUUUCUGCUCCUUGUGAAUAUAUGUAGUUUUAAGCAUGAAAAUAUUUAUAUCUACCGUAAUACUUAUUUGUAAUAAUUAUUUGUGUCAAAAUAGUUUUCCUGAAUAUGAUGAUGUUUUGUUUAUAAUUAUAUCUUCUUUGCCACUAAUGUACAUGUAGAAUUAUCGUAAAUAAGUACCCCAAGUCCCCGAAGAUUGAAAAGCUGUUAAACGCAAUAUGGAGUUUAGAUCACAUUUAUGAAUGGAAGACCUGCUUGCAUGUGACUUCACAAAUUAAAGAUUUUUCAUAACGCUCUUCCUUUUUGCUUGAUUUUCAUCAAUCCUUUAAAAAUAUUUUGUUGAAUUGACCUAGUCCACCUACACUUAAAAUAUCAAAUAGAUUAAUUAAUUUGGCAGGAUGACCAUUAUAAUGCUGGGUCAUCUAGCCUUUUUUUUUGCAAACCGCUGUUCUGCUUUGUGUGUGGAUGCCUGCAUAUACUGCAUUUUCUUCUUUGUGAUGGGUUCUUUUCAAGUUUAUACCUUGUUCUUGAUUUUUAAAUUUGGACUUUAAAAAAAAUCUUCAUUUAGAAAAUAACACUCUAUUUGAUGUAUUGUUUUUCUUUAACUUUAAAGGGACUUAUUAAUUUAUUUUAACUGUUUUAUUCUUUCCCCAUUAUUAAAGAGAAAAAGUUUUAUGCUUUUGAGUAAACAGGGUUAGAUCCUAUCGAAGGGAAUGUGAUUAUUUAGUGCCUGAAUCAUGAGCAUUAAUGUCUCCCCAAAUGUGGAACAUUAAAGACCCAAACCAGAGCUCAAAUGGCAAUUGACAAAUGGGAAAUAUGUAAGCUACAUAGUACAACAGUGUAAGUUUUAUGCAUAUUCACCGCUUGACAGCUGAGUAUUUUGCUCAAGGAAAACUAAAAUUAACGGGUUUUGCCGAGGAUUUGGACAAAAGGCUUUCCAUUGCAUUUCUCUGGCCUCAUGAUUGUGAUCUCAUGUUGUGUUAGAAGCAUUGUGACUCCAUAGGCUUGUACACCGAAAAGGGUUAUUUUUUCUGCUUUUCACAUUCUGAAUUCAAUUUAUUUAUCAAUUUGCAGAAAAAAAAUGAAAAUGACAAUUAAUCAGUGCUCAAAUGGAUGGAAACCUAAAUGUACAACUCUUCACUAAUUUUUUUUUGUGAUUUCUGUUCUUAGCUCUUAUUGGGCCUAAAUUGCUAUGUAAGGAAAACUUGUUAGUGUGUGCCAAUUAAGCAGGAAACAAAAUAUGGCAAAAACUAGUCAAAAGCCAUAGAUUUCAUCAAUUCAAGCUUGCAGCAAAAGAUAUGAUAUCUCUGUGUGAGAGAAGUGAAGAAAAUAAGGUGUGUAAUCUGAAAGGGGGGGAAAUCACACACUUUUUCUGUGUAAAACUCGAAGGAAUUACACUGCUUCUAACACGACAUGACAUCAUGGUCUCGAGGCCGGUGAAAGCAUUACAAGAGAGUCUAUUUUCGAAGCCCGAUGAUUGGAGCUAUUAUUAAGCAAAAUACUCAGCUGUUAAGCGGUUUAAAUUCAUAAAGCUUGCAUUUCUGUAUUAAGUAAUUAUUAGCUUUCGAUUGGUACAUGAUUUGUCAGUUUCAUUUUUGGGUCUGGUCUGGGUCUUUAAACCCAUUUCUGAGGUCAUCACCUAUAAUAUCACUAGACUACACGCUGUCGGGACUGACGUUAUGGACUUUGAACUCGCCCUUAAAGUUGCUAUUAAAGUUGUUCCUGCUCUGUUUCAUCAAUUUGCAUACUGUGAGUGUACUGCUCCAGUGGUAAAAAUGCAAGGUAAGAAUUGGACCAGUCAGGGGGGGGGGUUCACAAAGAGUUGAGUGUUAAUUAUUAAAAUCAUUCUUGUCAAAAAGCAAUGUUUUUCAAUACACAGUCUUACACAGUAUUGUGUGUCACCUGAGCAUGAUCUGACCGAUGUGGUGAUGCAUUGUAUUCCAAACAUAACUGGGAAUUUAAGCAUAAUUUUGAGUCACACUUUUAAAAUGUCAUCCUGGAAUUGAAUUCUGUUCACAAUUAGCAGGAAAUGGCUGAAUACUGAAGUAAGAAUGUAUGAAUAAGUACUAAGUUUAGUUAUAAUGAAAUACAAUACGUUACAUCAGCCCAAUAUGACUGCAACAGUGGCCACAAUAUGGGAGGGGGGCAUCUGGGCAGCUUCACCCCUCUCCCCCUAACUUUUUUCAGUACCCUUGCACAAAAACAUGAAAAUGACCAUCAAACUUGUGAUUUUAAGCAUGUUCAGCCCCCCCCCUUUAAUACUGUUCCGCGGCCCCUGUACAAUAUAGAAUAUCCUGGCAUUGAAACUUCAAUUUUUAUAAGUAGACACUAUUGAGUCCUCAGUAUAUCACCCCUCAUGAUGUAAAAAAAGGUAGGUUUUAACAGGUAAAAUGCAGCCAAUGUAAUUUUCACCAAACUUUCCACAGAGUUAAAAAUAAUAUAGUUUCAUAUGAACAAUUUUUUUCUGUGGGACUUUGAAGCUUGCCAUUAUUAGAUUGCUGAAAAAUUGAUUAAAUCAACAGACGGAUGCAUCAGAUAAACCUCAAGAUAUCAACAAAUGAGUGUUUGAAAUUCCCAUUCUGUCUAAACCUCUGUACAUUUCAUUAAAAUUAACUUUGCAAUUGUGUAAUUUAUGUCAUUUUAUACCUUCUUGCAAAUUUCCUCUGCAAACUGCAACCGAGAUCUUAAGUGAUCUGUAAUACCCCUACUAGUG
Lytechinus pictus (painted urchin) is the source of this 3955-nucleotide long non-coding RNA. RefSeq lists it as uncharacterized. The transcript is spliced from 3 exons. The record is from RefSeq and is a predicted model, not a curated record. NCBI's taxonomy places the organism in Eukaryota, Metazoa, Echinodermata, Echinoidea, Temnopleuroida, Toxopneustidae.